This 690-nucleotide unclassified non-coding RNA is filed under the name Hevea brasiliensis (rubber tree). Lineage: Eukaryota; Viridiplantae; Streptophyta; Magnoliopsida; Malpighiales; Euphorbiaceae. The record is from RNAcentral.
UUUUAAAGUUAGAUAUUACAAUAAAAAAUCAAAUGUAGAAAUUGAAAGAGUUCAUCAAAUUAAAAUAAUAAGGAAAAGAAGGAAAAAAACACCUAAUAAACAUUUUACAAUACUGUUAUUGGAAUAUUAACUCAAAUUUGAGAUUAGAUGUAGUAAUGCUAUAACUUGCGUUGUUCUUUAAUGACAAUAGUAUAGAUUAAUAUUAUAAUUUAUGAAUUCAUGUUGUUAAAGUAUGUAUUUAUGAAAAAAGAUAAAACGUCUUUUUACAUUCAAUUUAUAAUUUAAUUAGAUUUUAUUUGAAUUAUAUGAUCAACAUUUAAAUACUAUUAUCUUUUUCAUGUAAAUAUUGACUAAGUUUAAUUACAUAAUUUUUUUUUUAAAAGAAAAGAAAUAAAAAUCUAACAUACUUUGUUUAUUGACUAAAGACAUUAUUUACGUGAUAUCAGGUUUGAGUACACACUCCCUCAAUCCCCUUAUUUAAACAAGGAAAGAAAUAAAAAAUAAAAAAUAUUAAAGAGCAAGACAAAAGGGUUAGAGUUCAAAAAGAUUUUAAAAAUAAACAACACUUAAAAAAUGGAAUGUUUGAUAGGGAUGGAUAUUUGGUAGAAUUGUAGAGGAGGGGUGCCGAGUGAGCUGACACUCUUGUAACAAGAAUAAAUAAUUUUAAAAAUUUUUAAAAAAUCGUAUGGG